GCCUUAAUCUGGUACUAGUUCUAGUGCAUACAAUCCAAUUCAAUCAUGCUUGUCUUAAUCUCAUAUUCAUCCAAGCACACAUUAUUGUUUGUCUUAAUCUGGUACUAGUACCAGCGAAUUAGAUCCAAUUCAACCAUGCUUGUCUUAAUCUCAUAUUCAUCCAAGCACACAUGCACAUAUGGAAAGAACUAACAGUAAUCUAUAUUUUGUACAUGGCUUAUUAGGCUCUAUAUGAAAACAUUAUAAAACUACAGCUGUUUAUUUUGUCUCUUCUUUAAUAUGGCAAUCCAGUGAUGCAGCUGCUCUGCUGGGCAUGAGAACUACCUGAUGCACAUCAGUUUCAGCCUUAAAAUUAGUCAUCCAAAUGGCCCUUAAGUUAUUUUGGUGUUCAGGUAAUAACAUAAUUUAUGUUGCUCUUCAUUAUUGUUUCAAUCUGGGAUUGUAGUACUGAAAUUCUUUACACUACUUUACACGUCCUUGAGUAUUGUACUAUUGUUAACCAGAAAUGAAAGGGAGUUAGUUAUAUAACAACUUAAACUUUGGGUUAUACACCGGAAAAGUACUGAAAGAAUAAUAAGUGGCUGAGUUAUACAACAUUCAAUAAUAGUUCUAAACUACAACCAUUCAUGCAACUGAAUGGUCGUUAAUAUGAGAAAUGAGAAUAUGUGGUGAGUGAUAAGUAGAUAUGUUAUUUCAACGAUGAUGAGCACUGAAAGCUCACUUGUGGUGAUUAAUUUCGACAAAUGAGCGCCAAGAUGAGGUCAAGGCUUCCCUAGCCUCGGACAUGCCCACCACUGGUCUCCCGCGCCAAAGAUGCGGAUGUAUACCAGAGGUUCUCUCGCUUGCUGUCGCGCAAACACGGUGUGCUGAGAUUGGCUGUAGUCAGUCUCAGGUGAGCACUUUAAUAUGCUCUCAACUAUGGCCAUGUCAUUCUAAUUAAAAACUGCAUUUGGUCCUGAUCAUGCCUGUGUGUGUGGCUGCUUUGAUUGCAAACUGGGUUAGGGCCUGAUUUCUAGCAAGGUCCUGUUAGUGGUUACUUGAGUUUCUAUGGGAGCUAAUGCCUUUAUUAGUGAAAAUUAUGGAUAUGAUUGCUACCUUUUGUUACCUAUUGAUGAUUGUCUGAUCCUAUUUCUCUUACUCAUGGAUAUAUAUUAUAUAUAUUAGCUUAUCAUGUCUCCAUUAUUUAUUUUCUAUGUUCAUUUGAUGCUAGGGUUUGGCUCAGUAAUUUUCUAAUUAGUGGGCGGGACAUGCUCCAUCUGUUUUUGAAACCCUUGUGCUCUGCUGCACUACAAUUUGGGACAUGCUCCAUCUGUUUGCUAGAGGUUCUCAAAAUGUUUUCUCUUACUACCAAAGCAGCAUGUUAUACUACAUUGUUUAUGCUUAAGAAUUCCUAUUCAUUUUCAGUUCCUGUCCCUGAAUGCCUCAACCUCAACUCUGCAUUUUUGUUUCAGGAUAGGGCAUCGUUCAUUACGAAGGUUCUUUUUUCUUGUAUUUAGUUGGUUGAGUGCGAUCUGGAGAAGUAGGGAGAGUUAGGCGUCGAGGCGGCUGGAGAUGCUUGACUGUUGGUUUGUCAGUUGUGUCGACAACGACGUCAAAGUGGGGCGGCGGUCCCGCAACACCUAGCGUCCAGUUGUACAUGUGAGGUUAGAGUUUUAGUGGUUAUCUUAUCUAUGAAAUGUUAUUGGCUGCAGUACUUGCAAAUUUCUGUUUAAACAGUCCGUACCAAGUUUAUUAAAUAGAUGUCAUGCUAGAAAUGAAGUAAGAUCUCUAAUAACCAUGAUACCUAAUAAUUCGUUGUUCUCUUUAUUUGUCACAACCGACUCUCAAAUAACAAGGCAUCGGCCACGUUUCCGCAACUAUGCGCUGUUAAGAUGAAGCACUGAUGACGUGUUACACCAAGAAGCCGUAAAUUUGCAUCGUGCUAUGUAGGCGGCGCGGCGAAGCGCGUAUUUCUGUCUAGUACAAAUUACAACCUGGUAACAUCCUUGUCGUGAAUACCGCCACGUAUAACAAAACCAAGACCAUGCGACUCGAGGUCGAGAAUCCGAUCGAGAUAUUGUGCAGACUAGUGUAAUGUACGGCUGCUGCAUAUACAUAGUAUGUACAAGAGUAUUUAAUUUAGCCCUGCACGAUGGACACACUUGCAAGGGAUGCCCUUGCAUGCAUUGAAAUAUCUAACUGAAAAAUGAUCUUGGUUCAUUAAGCUAACACGGUUUCAGUCCUUGGUUGCUACUUGAUGGUUUAUUUUCGUAAACAGACAAAUAUCUACCUUUCUUGGGAAUUAGUGGGAGAAGGUUGUAUGCAUUGUUUGCUCAGUUUGUGCACUUAUCUAUAUUUUUUAAAACCAUGGUCUACAUGAUUAGUUUACUUUGCUAAAGAGAGUAGUUCCCUUUUCGUAAUAAUUUGAUAUUUACUUAUUACUAGAACAUUAUCUGAGAUUAUAAUUAUACAAACCUUUUUAAUCAUAUUGUGCAUUUUUAUAUCCCCAUAUCUGUAUGAAAUAGAUCUUCUGUUAUUUAGGCAUGAUUACAUCCGUGAGGGUCAAAUGAUGAGGAAUGAGCUGCAACAAUACGAUGGAGUUAUGCUCCUGAUUCUUAUUUCUUAGUACUUGAGCCUAUGAUGAUACCUCAAAUGAUUUUUUCAUCUUUUAUUAUGUGGUUAUAACUUCACAUGAUCUUGACUAUUCUAUCUUGCCAUUAAUUAAUGGUGUUCAUGCACUCCUAGAAUGAAAAAUUGUCGAUUUCAUAGUUGUUUUUUUUGUUCAAUUACAUACAGUGCUUGUUAUGCUUUUUGAAUAGCACCUUGCUCUGCUUUUGUGGGAUUACUGGUCCAUGUUUCAACCUUGCUAGAUACACAUUUGAUUUGUGCUGUUUCAAUCUUUUAUGAUUUUGGAUAAGCUUAGUGUUAAAGAAGUGAUUAAUUAUUUCAGAAUACUAGAAUGUGAAGGUCAUCAGGUGCAAGACCACCAUAAUUGGUAGCAAAGUUCGAGUCAUGUUUUACAAAGGGAAAAUGAUAUCGGUAAUAGGAAGUCAACAAAUGGUAGUACUAUGUGACUAAUUUUGCGCUUUAUGAGUUGCAUUGCUGAAACUUGUUGCAUUAGAAAGCCAAUUAAUCCAUUGUUUACCAAAAUCAAUCCAUUAGAUUAAUUUUCUUAUUGCAUUACUGAAACUUAUGAUAUCCCUAAAUGAAUAUAUAUCGUCACUGUACCAGCUACUCUAUACUAACCUUCAGUGCUGCCAAUGGAUGUUGUGUUACACAGGGAGCAGCCUCGUACAUGGAUCAAUGCUAGACAUCGAGAUGUGAAGACCUCACAAGGAGCGGGGAGAAGGAGGUCAAGCUGCUCGCCCUCCAAGGACCACAGGGGUGACCUCGACGUUGACAUUACAUGGGCAUUCAAAGCCAGAGUAGUGGAUGGGUGCGGCAAAUUGGUGGAGGCCUGCGUUGCUUCUUGCACAGCCUUGGUGCCGCUAGGAGGUGGUCCAUCUCAUCGGCUCGAGAAGGAGCUUGCACCUGCCACCUAGGAAGUCCCAUGCGAGCUACAUUAACGUGCACGUGGGCAGCUUAGUGGUCGCCCUGGCUGAAGCGGCUGGUGAGGAGUCCAAGGAGCACCGCGACCAACCGAAGAUCGUCAAGGAGAAAUUAACUCUUCCUCUCCUGGGAUUGUGAAAUGUGAGCACAACAUUAUAUUGCUUCCCUUCUUCUGGCUUAAGUAUCUCUGAUAUCACCAUCUUGGGCAUUGUUUUUGUCCCAGUGAGAUAUGAGAAGCAAGUAUCAUACCAACUUAUUUAUUGGUAUUAUGCAGUUGACACCUAGAUGGCUAGGUGUGCCAUCUCAUUAGGCUUUUGUUGGGUAUUGAAUUAGUUUAUUGGGGUAUGCGUCCUUGGAUUGCUGUUGCAUACUCAUCUCCUGUUGCGGCUGCUACUGCUGUUUUCUUGAUUUACCCUAUUGGUCAAGGAAGCUUCUCUGAUGGUAUGCCUUUAGGAAUAUCUGGUACUUUCAACUUUAUGAUUGUAUUCCAGGCAGAGCACAACAUUCUUAUGCAUCCAUUCCACAUGUUAGGUGUAGUUGCUACUGCCACUGUGUGCUUUUGAAGGUGUCAGUAUCAGCUCUUUAUUGUUCAUAGUUUAGCUCUGCGAUUUCUGACUUAAUGUUUGUCAUAGUGUUUUAAUGUUGCCCCUUUUUGUACUGUUAUUUUCUAGUGUCUGAAAAUAAGGAUGGCCUUGGUGGCUUCAUUAGACAUAGUAUUCAAUCAAGGAUUUCUUAACUGUAAGUGACUAGAGGAUUCUCUUAAUCCAUCAAUCACUAUGUUGGCAGAGUUUUUUGUGAUGAAUUUGCUAUGGCGUAAACAACUGUUUCUUAGCUAUGCUAGAAACUGAAGUAGAGCAAGCAGUAGACUAUUAAACUGGCCUGACCUUUAGCUUGUCCUUUGUAGUUGUCCUGCCAAUCAGAAAUUUGGUGAAUAGGUUCAGUUAGACGACGUGCUCUCGUUGGUUCUUGUAUAUGAUCUUUGACUUGUAACCUGGACUGAUUGGUCCAUAAUUUCGAGGUGCUGUCCAAAGAUAAGUUGUAGAUUAUGUUUGAGCCUUUCCAUAGAGUACCUUUUUGCGCAUAUUGGUUCGAUAGAUUGCAGACAACGGAGUACCUUUCCAUAGAGUGAUAUGCAUUGAAUAUAGAGUUUUACAGCGGGAACUGUCGUAGUUAGUAUUGUUUAUAUGUGUGCACUCUUUUUAGCUUGCAGAAUUGUUGACUAUAUGCAAAACAUACUAUUACUAUAGUUUUUCGGUGGUAAAUUAACGAUGUUGUGUUGUGCCCCUACUAUAGCCUUGAGGCAAUAGCUGCUGUUUUUUGAGCUCUAAUAUUUCUUUGUGUUGACUGACUUUCACUGUGAAUUUAUGAUGUAAAAACUCACCACCAACUAGGUGAAGCUAGCACGACUGUGGUAAGCGGUCUGGACAUUGCUUCUCCUCCCAGCACACACCAAACUUUCAAAUCACGUUAGAUGAUUCGUCGUUCUUAUUUCUGGCUGGCAGGGGAAAGCAUGAAAGAACCAAGAACUGCAAGGUGGAGUCACUCAUCUGCUUGAUCUUGUUACACAUGUGCAGUUAUCAGUGUGGUUUUCCCUGCAUUUUGGGAUAUGGGAGGGGGCACCUUCAUUCUUUGUCCAUGAAAGCAUGAGGUAAGCUGCAGGCUGUUGCCACCAAUGCAUUGAAGAAGAGGUGAGAAGUGAAUGACAGAGCAGCCAUUUUCAGAGAUAGCUUCCUUCUUGUUCUGCUAACUAUCCCUUGAUUUCUAUUUCUAUUUUUGUUGAUAGCAGAGAUGGUUUCUCAUUUCUAUGCUUUUUGUUUGGAGGUUUAGAUACUUGAAUUGUGUUUUAGAUUACUUGACUAGUUUGUUACUGUUUAUUUCAGCCAAAAAAAUUAUCACUUUCUUGCUCAUUAAUUGUCUUGUAUUUUUUUCUUUGGACUAGAUCUUAUAGGUUCCAUUAACUAUGACUUAGGUUUGAUUUCAUCCGUUGUCUCUCUCUCUGGCAAUUGUUGAAACUCGUGAGGUCUUCAUUGCCAGUAACUUGGCUUAGGUUUGAUUCCACAUGGCUUUCUAGUUAUUGUUUGUGUUGAAUCAUGCCAUGAUGCGUUUUACACAACAAAUGAACCUCUUUGGAUGGCCCCUCUUUUUCUGCUAAUACAGUAGCAAUAUUGUGCACCAGAACUAUCCUUGAUAUAUGUUUAUAGGUACAAGUUUCAUUUAUUUCUUCUGACACGUUUUGCUGCAAGUUGCAAGAUCUUCAUUUCUUCCAGAUUGUGAUGUACCUGAAUCUAAACUUAUUAUGUGUAAGUUUUCUGCUACUUGUGAUUGUGGUUCUGACAGAAUUCUUCUUCUUUUAUUCUGUUUUGGCUGGAAUGUGCGCUUUGCCACC
Long non-coding RNA from Lolium rigidum, 5914 nucleotides. RefSeq lists it as uncharacterized. NCBI's taxonomy places the organism in Eukaryota, Viridiplantae, Streptophyta, Magnoliopsida, Poales, Poaceae. The transcript has 4 exons. The record is from RefSeq and is a predicted model, not a curated record.